AGAUAUGCAGGCAGAGUAUGUCAUCCAUGAGGUGGGUGGCUUCUCCUGAGGUCUUUGAUUGUGGAGAGCUUUUGACUCUUCUUACUCAAUUCUGGCACUGCUGGCUAUGAAAAUAGGUGCAGAGAGUUUGCCGUCUUUGGGGACUUUUCUACCUCACAUUCAUUGAACCUUUGCACUUGAGUCCUUCCAUAAAAAUUCAAUGCUAACACUGAUAAGCAAAAUCUCAGCUGUACAGAGCCAGGGGAAAAUUAAUUACUGCAUAUAGUUGAGGUUCCAUAUUAAUUGAAAGAGCUGACCCAGCUAAUGUAAGUAUAUUUUUUCAAUUUAAACAUUUUUGAAGAGACUUUCUUUAAAAUUUUCCAUUUGCCUCUUUGCCUUUUUACCUGUAAAAUAUGCAAAGUAUUUCCAUUUUAAAAAGAUUCAUGUAUUCAAAUAACGUUUGCUGAGUAUCUAUUAUAUGCUAAACACUAAAGUUAGAAGUAUAGAAAAUAAAUUGUCCCUGACCUCAAGGAACUUACAGUCUAGAAAGUGAUUGGCAAACCUUUUCUGUAAAGGGGCAGAUAAUAUUUUUGGCUUUGCAGGCCAUGUAUUCUGUGUCACAACUAAUCUGCCAUUAGGGUGCAAAAGCAGCUAUAAAUCCUGAGCCCAUUUUAUUCAUCUGUCAAACACCUCAUCAUCACUAAGACUCUCAGACUGUUCGUAGGAAACAUUUCCUAACCAUGACAAGUAGAAAAAAAGCUCCUCCCUCUUCUGUGUUCUGCUAUAUUCAGUAUAGCUCUUUAUCAGGGAACCUCUAACUCUCUCCUGUGUCUGUUUUCUAUUUGUAAAAGGAGUCCAAGCAGAGAACACAGUCUCAGUAGAGCCAUAAAGACAUGGACUGUCCUGGGAUGUUUGCUAAACUGUCUGGCUAAAUCAGGUUUGGAGAAUGCCAAGCAUGGCAUGGAAGGGGUUCCUGCGCAAAUAAAGCAGCAGUUGCCAGAUUGAUGCUGACUCAGUGCUGUAAGGGUGUGACUUACACUUUCUUCAUCUUCCUGGGGAAACCUUGAAAUAUGCAAAGGCACACUCUGCUAGAGAAAACAGAAGCAAGACACCUGAUUAUCUUAUUUUCAGCCCUUGAAGAGUUUCUUAG
RNAcentral lists this long non-coding RNA (1129 nucleotides) under Papio anubis (olive baboon). RNAcentral's name for it is "lncRNA (ENSPANG00000042608.1)". Lineage: Eukaryota; Metazoa; Chordata; Mammalia; Primates; Cercopithecidae. The record is from RNAcentral.